CCUACGGGUGGCUGCAGUGAGGAAUAUUGGUCAAUGGACGAGAGUCUGAACCAGCCAAGUAGCGUGAAGGAUGACUGCCCUAUGGGUUGUAAACUUCUUUUAUAAAGGAAUAAAACGAGGCACGUGUGCCUUUUUGUAUGUACUUUAUGAAUAAGGAUCGGCUAACUCCGUGCCAGCAGCCGCGGUAAUACGGAGGAUCCGAGCGUUAUCCGGAUUUAUUGGGUUUAAAGGGAGCGUAGAUGGGUUGUUAAGUCAGUUGUGAAAGUUUGCGGCUCAACCGUAAAAUUGCAAUUGAUACUGGCAGUCUUGAGUACAGUUGAGGUAGGCGGAAUUCGUGGUGUAGCGGGGAAAUGCUUAGAUAUCACGAAGAACCCCGAUUGCGAAGGCAGCUUACUAGACUGUAACUGACAUUGAUGCUCGAAAGUGUGGGUAUCAAACAGGAUUAGAUACCCGGGUAGUC
This 460-nucleotide ribosomal RNA is filed under the name uncultured bacterium. Its description in RNAcentral is "partial 16S ribosomal RNA". It matches the Rfam family "Bacterial small subunit ribosomal RNA", at positions 338 to 795 of the family's 1533-position model. The record is from RNAcentral.